AUUGCACAAUAGCAAGAAAUAUCUAAUUGCACAAUAUUGUGCAAUAGCAAGAAAUUCCAAUUGGAUUUCAAUUGGAGUUAUCUUUCUUUGUCCAGAAUAGUAAGUUGAAUCAACUUAAAUCAUUGUUUUAUACAAUAUACAAUGUAUAUUCACUUUUACUACCAACUGAUAGAUUAAAACAAUCUUUACCAUUCAGUGAUAACAAGCACUUUUUUUACAUUUUAAUAUUUUAUGAUGUAUUUACAUGAGUAGUUAUUGUUGCAAACUUCAUUAGAAAUUUGAAUUGAGAUCAGUUUUGAAAUAAGGGAAAGGGGGAUGUGAAAAAAAAAUUGGGGGGUCAAUUUUUUUCAUUUCAGAUUUCAUAAAUAAAAAGAAAAUUUCUUCAACAUUUUUUUGAGAGGAUUAAUAUUCAACAGCAUAGUGAAUUGCUCAAAGACCACAUUCAUUCUGUGUCAGAAACCUAUGCUGUGUCAACUAUUUAAUCACAAUCCAAAUUUAGAGCUGAAUCCAGCUUGAAUGUUGUGUCCAUACUUGCCCCAACCGUUCAGGGUUCAACCUCUGCGGUCGUAUAAAGCUGCGCCCUGCGGAGCAUCUGGUUGUGUUUUGGUCUGUUUUUCUUAUACUGUA
Molecule: long non-coding RNA, 627 nt
Filed under: Mytilus galloprovincialis (Mediterranean mussel)
Lineage: Eukaryota; Metazoa; Mollusca; Bivalvia; Mytilida; Mytilidae
Source: RNAcentral